Molecule: microRNA, 21 nt
Filed under: Sarcophilus harrisii (Tasmanian devil)
Lineage: Eukaryota; Metazoa; Chordata; Mammalia; Dasyuromorphia; Dasyuridae
Description: Sha-Mir-7392-P3_5p (mature (co-guide))
Source: RNAcentral
AACGAGUAAGCUUUGGUUAUA